UAGCAUGAAGGGUUGGACAAAGAAAAAACUGUCUUAUAAAUAAAAAUUGAAAUUUACUUUUAAGUGAAAAGGCUUAAAUAUAUUAAAGGGACGAUAAGACCCUAUAAAUCUUUAUAAAUAAUUUAAAUUGAUUUGAUUUAUAAUAAUAAAAGUUUGAUUUAAUUGUUUUAUUUUAUUGGGGCGAUAUGAGUAUAAGUAUAAUUAACUGCUUAGUGAAAAUUCUAUUAUAAAAGAGUUNNAAUUAUAUGAUCCUUUUUAAAGAUUAAAAGACUAAGUUACUUUAGGGAUAACAGCGUUAUUUUUUUUGAGAGUUCAUAUCGAAAAAAAAGAUUGCGACCUCGAUGUUGAAUUAAAAUGUCUAUAUAAUGCAGUCGUUAUAAAAGAAGGUCUGUUCGACCUUUAAAAUUUU
This 409-nucleotide ribosomal RNA is filed under the name Calvactaea tumida. RNAcentral's name for it is "partial large subunit ribosomal RNA". The stretch from base 286 to 409 matches the Rfam family "Bacterial large subunit ribosomal RNA", at positions 2473 to 2597 of the family's 2925-position model. The record is from RNAcentral. Lineage: Eukaryota; Metazoa; Arthropoda; Malacostraca; Decapoda; Xanthidae.